Hibiscus syriacus is the source of this 81-nucleotide small nucleolar RNA. NCBI's taxonomy places the organism in Eukaryota, Viridiplantae, Streptophyta, Magnoliopsida, Malvales, Malvaceae. The record is from RefSeq and is a predicted model, not a curated record.
CAGUGUGAUGGAAUCCAGGGGAACCUGCGCCAGACUGACCAGAAAAAGAUGUUGCAAACAAACGUCCACUACUGUCUGGAA